ACCAGCAAAGCGUGGUCUGGUUGCUAACGGUUAGUCUAGAACUGAACGAUGCUGCUCUGUAUUCCCAUUCUGGUGUGUGUCUGUUUAAUUAAAGUUACAAGCCCGUACCAGUACAAUUUUGGGUUCCCAACCAGAAAGUUUUCCAGGAACAUCCAGAUGACGUCCCACUCACAGCUUUACACAUGCACACAGGAGAACACUCCAUGUAGCCAUUACUUACAUGGACAUUAGUGGCCAUAGCUUGGCAGAUAGCAGCUCACUGGUGGGGUGCAGUAAUUGGGAAUCAACUAGGCAGUUCAGGAGACGGACCAAGCUUUAGGGCUGGCCCUGAUGGGGACAGUCAGCAUGAGAUCAUCAGUGAUGGAGUGCGCAUGGUAUUGUGCACAGGGACUGGCUCUGUGAUGUCACCCAAGGGGAGCAGCGCCCCAGCCAGGGUGUGGCGGCAGGAGCCUCUGGUAAUGCUAUGGAAGUGAGGCUGGGCGAGGCAGGCGGGAGGCCGGGCAGGGGCAGGUAGGAGGCUCUAUGGAGCCUAUCUGGUCUAGAGCAUGGCCUCAGCCAGUGCCUCGGAGAGCAUGGGACAGAGGCCAAAAGAAAGCCUCGAUAAAACCAGAGGUGCAGGGCUCUGGGCCAAAACCCUGGCUCCAGGAAGUGACUGGAGCCUGAAGGAAGUGAGGCUGCCCAGGAAUCCCUAGUUCUCUCAGCUCCUCUUCAUCUGAACUCACUCUGGUUCGUCCGCAUCCCUCCGAAUAAGACAGACAGCCACCAUCUUUUCAUGGAGCCUCUGCUGCUCUAACAACUUAUGACCACUUCCCCAAGAGGUGCAGAUUAAGAGAAAGGCUCCAGUGUUGAUCCCACCACUUUUUCUCCUGCUUCUGGCUUGAAUUCUACAUGAAAAAGAAGUCUGAGCAAACCUUGGGAAACCCAGAAGUAAACCAUAAAAGAAAUGCCAGAUUUUCCUAGAUUUUUAAAUACCUGUUCUUACUCAACAGCAUGAGUUUCUGUUUCUGAGAAACAGAAUAAAGAAAACCAGUGACAGAAAAAGAAAUGGAUGAAAUUUUGCUUUGCCUUCCAUUCUAGUCCCCAACUUUAAUUAGACACAUUCUAGACAUAAUGCUCUGCUGGGCUUCCCCUAACUACAAAGUAUAAGCAAUUAUCCUCCAUAUAAAAGCCUCUUCACAUGUGAAUAAUAAAUAUUUGUUCACUUCUCCAAUUCUUACCUUAUGUGAUUAGACAUCUGUGGUAUGUUUACAGAGAUACAACUGGAGAAAUUAAAUGUCUAUUUUUUUUACCAAAUGAAUAUUAAAUGUAAGGAACAUGAUGAAAUACCUCCAUACACUUUAUAGGUAACGUUGUGAGCAUAUUACAUAAUAAUUAUGAUGACAGUGACCGGAGACAAGUCAAUUGCAUCAUCAAGUUUUCCUCAUACCUUUACAUACGGGACUCUGUUUUUGUCUUCAUGAACAGCCAAGUUCGUCUUGGAUACUACAGAGAUAAUAAUGAUGGCAUGCAGAGGAGAGAAGAAAAGUUAAAGACUCAGUAUUGGAGGAUAAAGAGAAAUUGUUACCGAAGACAGGCAAAUCUCAUGUCUUUGCCAUACGCAAGUUUAAGCCUUGGCUGAGAACAAGCAGAUAGUGUAAAGACAAUAAAAGAUCUCUGUAUUUUCAUUAGUUCCUUAAGCAGAAGUGCUGUGAAUCCUUUCAGCCUCCCUGGACCUUAGUUACAGAGCAAAUAGAGGACAAGCAUUCAGGUUACUCACCAUCCAGUAAGUCCCUGAUUUUGUCCAAGUAGAUCUCAAAAUAGGAAACCUAGUUAAAAACAAAUGGAGUUUGAAACAGAAAUGCCACACUGUAUUUAAAAACUAUCACUAUUAAAACUCAUAGAAGGUCUUUGGCAUGUACGGCUAAGAAGAGCAAGAAGACGGGCCACAAAGUGAAGAGUUGGUCGACUCUCCGGGCUCUCCAGCCUCCUGUCGCAUCAGCCUGCUCUGCGGGCCGCCGCCCAGUGCGGCCACUCUCCGUGCUUGACGGCCUCUGUGGUCUUGACUCGGGUGCUCCUUACAUUGUGUGCUGGGCAUCCACUCACAGAACGACUCUCCUUUUCACCCUAUGUGAGCGCCAAGCAAACUUCUAGGUAGGACAACAGCUGCAACAGAAACGUCCUUCACGAGCAAUUGUCAAAAAUCAGUAGGCCUCUCCUCAUGUGUGACACUGACACCCUCACCAGACUGGGAUGAAACACUCACAUGAAGAAGUAGGGACUGGAAUAAGGGCACUUUGCUUGGAACUACAAGAGCUCAAAGGCAACAGGGAGAGAGCUGCUGAUGGUGGCCAGCUUUGGGGAGUCCAGGAAGGGUCCGAACAAAAUGUGAUUUAAUGAAAGACAGACUGGACUGCAAGAGGGAAAGGAAGCCUUCCCAUCAAUUGUUCUCAAACGCCAGCCCAGAACCACCUGCAUCAGCAUCAUCCAUAGCCUUUGUUUAAAUUGCAGAGUCAUGAACCCUAUUGUAGUCCUCCUGAAUCAGAAUCUCCAGGAACAGGUCCUAGGAAUCUGCUUCUAAUCCCUGGUUAGUUCUUAUGUCAGCUGACAUCUGAGAACAGCUUUAACUAGAUAUGCGAUCUUGGGGGUUUAAUUCACAUGUAACCGAGACGAGAGGCCUCAGUUUUCCCAUCUGUCAAAUGAAGCCAUUUGGACUCGAUGAUGUCAAAAAUUCUGUCUAGGAUUCUGCACUUUUUGUCUACACCUGCCUUCUGCCUCUCAGAUCAACUUCUCUUUCUCUCAUGUUUAUGGGUUUUCUUGAAACCUAAACAAAGGAAUGGAUAAACAAGUUGUUAAGGAAGAAAAAAGGUGCCAAAAUAGUUGUAAAGUUGGAGUGUAACUCUACAGGUGAAACCUCACCCCUGCAUCCUAGCUCUGAACCAGUUCUACCUCUGGUUGUGGGAAGUGAAGCUUCCCCAACUCAAGGCUAGUCCUCACCAACUCAGCCCCACUUAUUACCUUGUCUGUAUCUCAGCCUGGAGCCUAGUGACUUCCCAGUUUCUCUGAGAGCUGGGGCUUCAAACUCUGGAACCUGUACCUGGCCAUCCUCUCCACGUUUCCUGUCUCCCUAACAACCUGAGCCUACCUGAUCAUCUGUCAAACUCCCCAGUCACCAAGUCUCGCGCAUCACAGACACACCUAGUUGACCUUGGAAAGAAUCACUGCUCCUGAAACUUCUUCCUGUGGCUGGAAUCCUAGGGUCUGUUUGGCCUCUAAUCUUACACAUCUCUCAUUCAGCCUCCCUGUGGCCAACUCAACCCUGGUUCCAACCCAUUCUAUUGCAUUUCAAGACUGCCUGGCUUUCAUUAAGACUUCUGCAUCUUUGAGGGGCACCUGGGUGGCUCAGUCAGUUAAGUGUCUGACUUUGGCUCAUGGUCUCGUGGUCUGUGAGUUCAAGCUCCACAUCGGGCUU
This is a long non-coding RNA of Felis catus (domestic cat), 3448 nucleotides long. RefSeq lists it as uncharacterized. The transcript has 3 exons. The record is from RefSeq and is a predicted model, not a curated record. NCBI's taxonomy places the organism in Eukaryota, Metazoa, Chordata, Mammalia, Carnivora, Felidae.